GAUGAACGCUGGCGGCGUGCCUAAUACAUGCAAGUCGAGCGAACGGACGAGAAGCUUGCUUCUCUGAUGUUAGCGGCGGACGGGUGAGUAACACGUGGAUAACCUACCUAUAAGACUGGGAUAACUUCGGGAAACCGGAGCUAAUACCGGAUAAUAUUUUGAACCGCAUGGUUCAAAAGUGAAAGACGGUCUUGCUGUCACUUAUAGAUGGAUCCGCGCUGCAUUAGCUAGUUGGUAAGGUAACGGCUUACCAAGGCAACGAUGCAUAGCCGACCUGAGAGGGUGAAGGGCCACACUGGAACUGAGACACGGUCCAGACACCUACGGGAGGCAGCAGUAGGGAAUCUUCCGCAAUGGGCGAAAGCCUGACGGAGCAACGCCGCGUGAGUGAUGAAGGUCUUCGGAUCGUAAAACUCUGUUAUUAGGGAAGAACAAAUGUGUAAGUAACUGUGCACAUCUUGACGGUACCUAAUCAGAAAGCCACGGCUAACUACGUG
RNAcentral lists this ribosomal RNA (497 nucleotides) under uncultured bacterium. RNAcentral's name for it is "partial 16S ribosomal RNA". It matches the Rfam family "Bacterial small subunit ribosomal RNA", at positions 28 to 507 of the family's 1533-position model. The record is from RNAcentral.